RNAcentral lists this long non-coding RNA (1668 nucleotides) under Macaca fascicularis (crab-eating macaque). RNAcentral's name for it is "lncRNA (ENSMFAG00000051200.1)". The record is from RNAcentral. Lineage: Eukaryota; Metazoa; Chordata; Mammalia; Primates; Cercopithecidae.
CCCUGUCUCUACUAAAAAUACAUAAAUUAGCCGGGCGUGGUGGCAGGCGCCUGUGAUCCUAGCUACCUGGGAGGCUGAGGUGAGAUAAUUGCUUGAACCUGGGAAGCGGACGUUGCGGCGUGAGCCACUGUGCCUGGUCCAUAUUUAGUAAAUUUUCUAUAGUGAAUAUGCAUUCCUUCUAUAAUUGGGAGGACAAAACUGAGGCAACCCGAGGUAGGAGGCAGGGACUGGACUCCAGAGGCAGGGGUUGGACACUGGACCAAACCAAGGACUGGCUUUAAAAAGCCCUAGGGCGGAAGCAGUUUUCUUUUGUUUGUUUGUUUGUUUGAGACGGAGUCUCGCUCUGUCGUGGGGCUGGAGCGCAGUGGCGGGAUCUCAGCUCACUGCAAGCUCCGCCUCCCGGGUUUACGCCAUUCUCCUGCCUCAGCCUCCCGAGUAGCUGGGACUACAGGCGCCCGCCACCUCACCGGGCUAGUUUUUUGUAUUUUUUAGUAGAGACGGAAUUUCACCGUGUGAGCCAGGAUGGUCUCGAUCUCCUGACCUCGUGAUCCGCCCGUCUCGGCCUCCCAAAGUGCUGGGAUUACAGGCUUGAGCCACCGCGCCCAGCCAACGGAAGCAGCUUUCUAUAAGACAUACCUAUCAGUGUGCCCUGUCAGUUUACCAUUGCCAUGGCAACACCCGAAAGUUACCACCCAUUUCCAUGGCAAUAACCCGACAACCCAGAAGUUACAACCCUUUUCCUAGAAAUGGCUGCAUAAACUGCCCCCUAUUUUGCAUAUGAUUAUAAGUGGGUAUAGAUAUGAGUGCAGAACUGCUUCUGAGAUGCUAUUCUGGGCACACUAUGGGGUAUCCCUGCUUGCUAGGAACAGUACCUCUGCUGCUGCUCUACACUGCCACUUCAAUACAAGUUGCUGUUUAACACCACCAGCUUGCCCUUGAAUUCUUUCCUGGGAGAAGCCAACGACCCUCCCUGGCUAAGCCCCAAUUUGGGAGCUUGCCUGUCCUGUAUCAAACCUACUGUUUCGAAAACAUGUCCUUUAUUCCCAGAUGAAUGCAGCUCUAUGUGUACAAAGUAUACUGAGAGGUGGUGGUGGGCCUCCUCUUCGUCCGCUCAGCCCAAGUCAGAAAAAGUGGAGACAGAAAAUAGACCUGCACACAAAUAUGACCAAUAUUCCUUCGCCCCAUCAAAAACAGCCUCAAUACUGGGAUUCCUGCUUCAACGCGUGUACAGACUCUUCUUAGAGGCAAUUCCUGUGAAUCCAAAGCUCUUGAGGAACAGGGAGUAAAACAGAAUGGCUAUUGUCUAGAGGCCUUCUAACUUCCACCUGGAUACAUUUACCCAUCUUGUUUUGGCAUAUUAAAAAGGCUUUCAAGGACAGGCAUAGUGGCUCACUCCUGUAAUCCCAGCACUUUGGGAGGUUGAGGUGGGAGGAUCACUUGAGCCCAGGAGUUUGAGACCAGCCAGGGCAACAGAGCCAGACCUUGUCUCCAUAAAAAGUAAAAAAAAAAAAAUUAGCCGGGGUUGUGGCGUAUCUGUAGUUGGUAGGCUGAGGGGGAAGAAUCCCUUGAUCCUGGGAGGUCAAGGCUACAGUGAGCAGAGAUCGUGCCACUGUACUCCAGCUUGGGUGACAGAGUGAGACCCUGCCUCUUAAAAAAAAAAAAAAAAGA